RNAcentral lists this ribosomal RNA (253 nucleotides) under uncultured bacterium. Its description in RNAcentral is "partial 16S ribosomal RNA". It matches the Rfam family "Bacterial small subunit ribosomal RNA", at positions 524 to 776 of the family's 1533-position model. The record is from RNAcentral.
GACGAACCGUGCGAACGUUAUUCGGAAUCACUGGGCUUAAAGGGCGCGUAGGCGGGUCUGCAAGUCAGGGGUGAAAGCCCACGGCCCAACCGUGGAAGUGCCUUUGAUACUGCGGGUCUGGAGGGGGAUAGGGGCGUGCGGAACUUGGGGUGGAGCGGUGAAAUGCGUAGAUAUCCCAAGGAACACCGGUGGCGAAGGCGGCGCGCUGGAUCCCUACUGACGCUGAGGCGCGAAAGCCAGGGGAGCGAACGGG